AAAUGUGCAACAUGUGAAUUCAAAAAAAGCACCAAAUUCUAGGACUCCUACAAUAAGAGAACAAUACGCCAUGAAGAGAUAUUAUCAGUUCUGACUUGUGUGCUCACUGCCUGAAGUGUGAUUGAUCACCAGGAAAUCAAGUUACUCUCCUGAGAGUUUCUGCAGAUUACUCCCCAGCCUUCCCUCACCCUCUGUGCUGCUGUGCUCCUGUGGGACAUGAAGGUACUGGCACAGCAUGAAUGAGACACAGCCUAGCCCAUG
Molecule: long non-coding RNA, 261 nt
Organism: Pipra filicauda (Wire-tailed manakin)
Lineage: Eukaryota; Metazoa; Chordata; Aves; Passeriformes; Pipridae
Exons: 3
Source: RefSeq, a predicted model, not a curated record